GGGGAAGCAUUUCAGAAACAACUGGCUUCCAUUGGAAGUAAAGAAGAUGGAGACUGCGCGGGGGAUGCUGGGAUUCGUAUGCGCCAUCCUGACUCCGCCUCUUCCUCUGUACAGGAAGAGGAGGAGCGAACAGGGAACGCAAAACCAAUACGUCUUUGACGUCUGUUUGUAAAAAUACAUAAGGAAGGAAAAGUGAGAUGGAUACGUUCGUGGGGCCGGGGAUUGCCAUGGAGAUGGAAGUUGCUGCAGAGGAGGUGGUGUUGACACAGGAUGAUGUUGAGGCAAAAGCUGAUUUGAAGGCCCUUGCAGAUGCUCCAGUCUGCCAAAAUUCAGUUUUUCAAGAUAUUACUGCUGAAUAUAAUUCAGAACAUGUUUGUUACCCUGGGGACUCCAGUGAGGAUGAGUACAGUUCUGAUGACCUGACACUACCUGUGGUGACUCGGCAUAAAGCAGAUAAGAUGAGGGCACGCUGUGCCAAAGAUGACUGUGUGUGCUGGGAGUGUGGCAAGCGUUUCCAGUCUCUAACCCUCCUGAUGCGUCAUUUCCGCACUCACAAGACACAGGUGCAUUGCAACAUUUGUCAGGUGACCUUCAGGAGGAUGGUGUCUCUUAGCAUGCAUCUGGAGAACGUCCAUAACAAUAUUAAGCUCUUCUGUACUGCCUGCCAUCUGUUCUUUGACAGUAAGUGGGACCUCAACAAGCACCUUGAGGAACAUGGUGACCUUGAGUCACCACCGCUUUUGCAGGGAUCGCCCUCGAGGUCAGAGUCUCACAGGAGAACGGGUACUGUGCUUUCUGAAUUAACCAGAAAUCUGGACAGUUCUGAGUUACUUGUCCAGACAUCCACUUCCAUCAUUGGAGAAAAUAUGAAGGACUCUUGCAACCGAGACUCCUUUCAGGAAGUGAAUGACCUGCACACUUCAGUGGCUCAUGAGCCUGCAUACAACAGAAAUGGUAGCAAUGCUAAGAAGAAAAAUGGGAUUGUCACUACUACUUAUGCCCUGCGCAUGCGCCACACCAAGACACUCACCAAAGUCUUUCCCCGGGAGAGCUUACCAGAGAGUGCCCACAAGAAGAAAAUCCAGCUCUUUGUGUUCCGCAGUGUGGACAGGAGUCAGGUGUCCUAUAAUGGUGAUCAGGCUGAAACUGAGAAAGAAGAGAAGCAAGAGGAGGAAGGUGAAGAUGUCAAACCAGACAUCUCUUUAAAUCUGCCGUUACAUGGCAUUUCAGCCGCUGGGGGCCUAAGCAAGCAGGAAGUCAAGCAGGAGGAUGUGGUCACUGACAAUAUCCUCCCACUUUGGGAGGGAGCACCACUGGAGGAGAGCCAGUUAGAUGACUCAAUGGAGGAAAACCUCAGUGAUGGAGGAAACACCCUGCCCUCCUGGGAGUCCAGUACUGAUUCUGAUUCCAAAUUAGAUGAUAUCUCUGAUUCCACCACGUCUUCCUUCAGCAGUGGCAACUCUAGCGGUUCCUCCUACUGCCCUAAUCGUAGGAUGAGGAGGAUUAGAGCCAAGCGUAUAAAGCAGGUGGUUGUAGACAGGAAAAAGAAAAGUGGAUUGCUGCUUGCCCCUGAUGUUGUCACGGAACCGUCCAUGAAAUGUCCCUGCUGUGGUGGGGGACCAUAUGAUACACUAUCCCACUUGCAACGUCACAAGGCUGCCUGCAGAAAUAAUGCUGCACAUUGUACAGUCUGUAAUGUCAUUCUUCCUGAUGACAUUGCCCUGACGGAACACAAAGUCAAGGCCCACUCCUCUGUGAAACCCUCCUGCAUGUACGCUUGUGAAUCCUGUCGCGAGGUAUUUCCUACGCUGCUUGUGUACAAACGCCACCAGUGCAGCCUGCAGACUGCUUCCAAUACAGAAACUGCAACCUCUGACCCUCUCCAAGACCUGGUUGCUGAAUCUGUUACCGCUGUUGUCUCCAACCAUGUUUCCAGGCCUGCUAACCAUGUGACUGGCUCGUUUUCAACAGGGAAUCAAACAAAGCCCUGUUCUGUGCUCCCUUCCCCUCUUGGCCCCACCACUGCAUCUGCACCUAUGCAGGUUGAUUUGGGUCCUUCUAGUAGCUGCCAAAUCACUACCCCCAACUGCAGUCUGAAUUCUAGCAGUGUCACCGUUACAGGUGCUGUACAUAUGACUGUUCCGUGCUCCGUUCAGAAUUCCACAUUAGUCACUCCCGUCUCAGUGCCUUCUGGCUCAGGCUUUCCACUUCAAAGAAUCAUGCUGCCAGUGACCUCCCAGUCAGGGUCUAGGCCCAUAAUGGCCACUGUGCUUAUGAGUGGUAAUGGUACAACAGGGAGGGUGGCACGCAUGGUUCUUCAAUCCCAAGGGCUUACAUUCCCAACACCAACUGUGACACAAUCAGUUUUGCAGAAACAGCCUUUGGGACUUUCAUCUGUUCACCCUCAGACUCAAACUGUGAACCAUUCUCAAGCCUUGCCAUCACUGCAACUUGCUAACCUUUUGGUGAAAGGUAUCAUCCAACCAAAUACACUCAUCAGACCUCCCCAGCCUUGCGCUAUGAGUGCAACCCAGCAUUUGACUCCAUCCUCAGUCUCUGUUCAACUCCACAGUACAGCCCCACAUCCCAUUUUUGUUCCUGUCCCAGCCUCAGUUUCUGUACCACUUUGUAACCAAGUGCCAGUCUCUGUCCCAGUACCAAAACCUGGCCCAGUAUCUGUCCCACUUCUGGAACCUAAACCAGCUCCAGGCACUGUCAGCCUUCCUGUUUCUAGCGUUGCACAGGUUUCUUUAUUUGGACCUACACUUCCUGCUGGCCCUGCCUUUCUCCCAGCUGCAACUCCUCUCACCAUGCAUAACUCUAACACUGGUACAGGGUCACUGAGAAUUCUGGGGCUGUAUGUCAAUUGCAGUCAGGAAUUUGCAUUGCAGCAGCGUCUUCAGAAAAGUUGGCGAUCCAAGGGGAUGUUCCUAUGCCGGCAGUGCGGGGCCGUAUCCCGGCAGCCAUCGCUGUGUGUGCGUCACCGGUACCUCCAUCGUGGCUCCCGUCCCUACAGGUGUCAUUGUGGCCGGACGUUCCUGCGUCUGUUGCACCUCCUUCGUCACCACAUCCAGCAUGCUGAGGCAACUCGAUUCGUCUGUGCCCCUUGCGGCCAGACUUUCUCUGGUGCACAUGACCUGGCCAGGCAUAAGAAGGGCUGGAGCGGAGAGGGGAAGCGGAGGGGUAAGAUAAGAAAGGACUGCCAGGCACCGUUUUACUGUGACUGUGGCCAGUUCUUCCAGAGGCCUGCAGCAUUUCUGUGGCACAAACUCAAAAACCCAGACCGUUUGAAGAGGGUUUAGAGCAUGGAACUUGUGAGUUGUUGGACAUCUUCGGGAGAUGCCCAAGAGAUUAUUUUCAGUUAAAUUUAAGCUGUAUGAUUGGAUAUCACUUUUGGUUUUUUGCAGUCACAAUAAAAUGUGGUUCGAUUUCA
This 3433-nucleotide long non-coding RNA is filed under the name Scleropages formosus (Asian bonytongue). RNAcentral describes it as "lncRNA (ENSSFOG00015024462.1)". Lineage: Eukaryota; Metazoa; Chordata; Actinopteri; Osteoglossiformes; Osteoglossidae. The record is from RNAcentral.